RNAcentral lists this long non-coding RNA (596 nucleotides) under Ananas comosus (pineapple). Its description in RNAcentral is "long non-coding RNA (ACOM_LNC013486)". Lineage: Eukaryota; Viridiplantae; Streptophyta; Magnoliopsida; Poales; Bromeliaceae. The record is from RNAcentral.
GGAUGUUUUAAAUUUAUCUAUACUACUUAUAAAAAAGUGAGUUUCAAUAUUUUUCUUUUCCAGAAUGCUAUCCGCUAUUAAUAUAAUUCCAAUUGCAUACUAACAAUAUCAUUCAUUCAACUUUUAGAGUAUAAUCACAGAGUAUAAAUCACAGACGUACAAUUUUAUUUUUAAAUUAUCAUAAAAUAUAUUAAUUCUUAGUCAUUGGAUUAAUGAAUCUAAUCCAAUGGCCAACAAAUUAAGUAUUUGUUACUUUUUUUUACAUAAAUUAUCCUCAGGCAGUCCGUAUCAAAUCCAACCUUUUAUAUACGAGCCCUAUCUUCUUACAUAAUAUCCAUAUUAUAUUUUAUCUAAUAAUAAUUAUUUUUAUACUUCAUACUUAUUUAUACUAUAUAUAAAAGCCGGAAUUAAAAAAAGAAAUAAAAUAAAAUUUCCUCUCAGUGGUUAUAAUUAAUUUGUUAAAAGAAUAUCUCAAAGAAAAAUAAAUAAUUAUGAUCAAUCUAUUAAAAAAUAGCAUUAUCAUAUAUUAAUAUAUCAAUAUCAAAUCUACGAAUGAUUAUGAUUAAUUUAUUAAAAAAUAUUUCAAAUAAAAAAAA